RNAcentral lists this unclassified non-coding RNA (337 nucleotides) under soil metagenome. RNAcentral's name for it is "partial contains 5.8S ribosomal RNA, internal transcribed spacer 2, and large subunit ribosomal RNA". The stretch from base 1 to 120 matches the Rfam family "5.8S ribosomal RNA", at positions 35 to 154 of the family's 154-position model. The record is from RNAcentral.
GAUGAAGAACGUAGCGAAAUGCGAUAAGUAGUGUGAAUUGCAGAAUUCAGUGAAUCAUCGAAUCUUUGAACGCACAAUGCGCCCCUUGGUAUUCCAUGGGGCAUGCCUGUUCGAGCGUCAUUUGUACCUUCAAGCUUUGCUUGGUGUUGGGUGUUUGUCUCGCCUCUGCGUGUAGACUCGCCUUAAAACAAUUGGCAGCCGGCGUAUUGAUUUCGGAGCGCAGUACAUCUCGCGCUUUGCACUCAUAACGACGACGUCCAAAAGUACAUUUUUACACUCUUGACCUCGGAUCAGGUAGGGAUACCCGCUGAACUUAAGCAUAUCAAUAAGCGGAGGA